Camelus ferus (Wild Bactrian camel) is the source of this 72-nucleotide transfer RNA. It matches the Rfam family "tRNA". From Rfam's summary of the family: Transfer RNA (tRNA) molecules are approximately 80 nucleotides in length. The record is from Rfam. NCBI's taxonomy places the organism in Eukaryota, Metazoa, Chordata, Mammalia, Artiodactyla, Camelidae.
GAGGGUAGAGCUCAGUGACAGAGCGCAUGCUUAGCAUGCAUGAGGUCCUGGGUUCAAUCCCCAGUACCUCCA